GCAGACGACUGGGUUGAUAGGCCCGACAUGUACGCACAGCAAUGUGUUCAGUGGACGGGUACUAACCCGCCGAACGGC
RNAcentral lists this ribosomal RNA (78 nucleotides) under Actinopolyspora mzabensis. RNAcentral describes it as "23S rRNA. Bacterial LSU". Lineage: Bacteria; Bacillati; Actinomycetota; Actinomycetes; Actinopolysporales; Actinopolysporaceae. The record is from RNAcentral.